GAAAAUUUUUAGUAUGUAUAGAGUAGUGUUUUGUUUCUCCUAAAGGCAAAGCAGCAGUGUGUGUCCAGUUGGAUAAAUCCCAGCGAUGGGCUCCCUCUUACUACGUCAGGUGGUGAGUUGUUAUAGAAAUGGUGAAGGGAGUUAAUUGUGUGUGUUUGUUUCAGCUGGGGUCCCGUAGUGUUUGGAACCAGUUGAGUAUGGUAGAGUCCAGGAGAAGUUCCUGAGGCUGAGGUAAAACGUUAGGGAUUAUUUUAAGGUGGUGUUAGUGCUUGAGUGAUGACGAUAGGCUGAAGCUAGGGCAUUGCUGAAGCAGUAUUUGCUUGGGGUUUCAGUUUAUGUGAGGGUAAGAACAUAUUAGCUAUACUCUCCGUGUUACUUUCGGCCGGUGGGGUCCCGCAGAGUGUGCGGUGGAACCAUUUGGUUGAUCUUGGAGCAGUAUUUAGCCUACCUGUGAUUUUUAAUGUCAGGGUAGGAAUGUAUUAGUUGUACUUCCCUUGUCAUCUUUGGCCAAUGGGGUCCCGCAGAGUGUGCGGUGGAACCAUUUGGUUGAUUUUAGCAGUAUUUAGCCCACCUGUGAUUUUAACAAUGGACAUGGUGUGAGUCAUACUCCCCGUGUCACGUUUUGGCGGAUGGGGUCCCACAGAAUGUGUGUGGUGGAACUGUCUGACCGAUUUUAAAGCUGUAUGUACUUGUGAUUUUUCGUAUAGGAUGUGGUGUGAGUCAAACUCCCCGCAUCAAACUGUGGCUGAUGGGGUCCCGCGGAGUGUGUGUGGCGGAGCCAUCUAGCAGAUUUUAAAGUUUACCUGUGAUCGUAAUAUGACGUGGCGCGAGCCAUACUCCCCUGCGUCGUAUCAGCCGAUGGGGUCCCACAGUGUGUGUGGUGGAACCAGUCGGUAUAUUUUAAAAGUGUAGAUGUUCUGCAAAUAAGUCGUUGUCAUGGUAGUGAGUGCUGCAGGUCGGCGCCCUACCUUAUAUUACCUUUUGGGUAAGUACGGGUUUUGACAAACCUGGCCCUUAAGGUGAUCAGUGUGUUGUGAACAUUUAUUGCGGAUGUAUGGGCGAGGUUAUGAGUCUAGCUUUUCCUGAUGUCCUGUGUAAUAUCUGAGCUCUGAUGAGGUAAUCGUCGGGGCGACGAUUCAUAAGCUGGGGGUGAAUGUGGUGGUGUGUAGCCUCACCUAUUGGUUUGUUUCUGUUAAAUCUGUGGACCAAUCGGAGCAUGUUAUGAUUUCGUGGUUGCUCAUUGGUUGGUGCUACACAAAUCUACAAACCAAUCGGAGCCGGGUUUGUAGGAUAUAAGAAUCCUAGUGGUGUAGCACCUGGAAACGUUGUCAUUUACGUCAUGCCCUGUAUGGAAGCGCUCUUUGUGAAUGAGCGGAGGGCGGCUGCGCGUCAUUCAUUACCCUUGGCUUUGCGUGUUGUGAACGAGCGGAUCGGCUUUUAGCUGGUUCCCAGAUGGCUGUAUGUUGCAGUAUUUGCAGCAGCUACAGGUGGGUUAUUUUGGCGUUGGGGAAACCUAAUGCGGUUAAAGGGAGAUUAAUUGUUUGUGUGUUUAGUUUGCUGCACAGGCAAACUGGUAAUACCUCGUUUGAUUGACCGGGCAUGACGGUUUCAUUAACCCCUCGGUAUGUAUUGUUGUUUUACUUGUUAAAAUUAUUUUCUUGUAUUAAAUUGUAUUUUUGUUUGGCAGAUAAAUGUAAGUUCCGUUUCGGAUGAGACUACAUUGCUGCUUUGCCUGGAGUUCGUUUCUCUCGUUUGUGUGUGUGGAUUCGUCUGGUGGCACAACCUCACCAUUUAUUGGACUGCUUCCAUUCAGGGGUUUGGCCUUGGAGGUGUAUAACUGAAUUCAGCUGUGCCCAUAACGUUUAUUGGCAUGCAGGAGUGGUUGCCGUUGUGACGUAUCGACCAGUGUUAGUUAUUUUUUUGUUAUUGUUUUGAGUUAUUUAAUUUAGUGUUGUAUGUAUUCACCUCUAUAAAGUGGGAGAUUGCGCCGGAACGUGUGUACACUA
Non-coding RNA from Misgurnus anguillicaudatus (oriental weatherfish), 2006 nucleotides. NCBI's taxonomy places the organism in Eukaryota, Metazoa, Chordata, Actinopteri, Cypriniformes, Cobitidae. The record is from RefSeq and is a predicted model, not a curated record.